GAAAUGCGAUAAGUAGUGUGAAUUGCAGAAUUCAGUGAAUCAUCGAAUCUUUGAACGCACAUUGCGCCCUUUGGUAUUCCUUAGGGCAUGCCUGUUCGAGCGUCAUCUAAACCUUCAAGCCCUGCUUGGUGUUGGGUGCCUGUCCCGCCUCCGCGCGCGGACUCACCUCAAAUCCAUUGGCGGCCCCCGCGUCGGCCACGAGCGCAGCAGAAACGCGAACUCGUGAGCCCGUCCGGGCGGCUCCCAGAAGCUACACCCACCCAGCUUGGCCUCGGAUCAGGUAGGGAUACCCGCUGAACUUAAGC
RNAcentral lists this unclassified non-coding RNA (305 nucleotides) under plant metagenome. RNAcentral describes it as "partial contains 5.8S ribosomal RNA, internal transcribed spacer 2, and large subunit ribosomal RNA". The stretch from base 1 to 105 matches the Rfam family "5.8S ribosomal RNA", at positions 50 to 154 of the family's 154-position model. The record is from RNAcentral.